RNAcentral lists this ribosomal RNA (386 nucleotides) under uncultured bacterium. RNAcentral's name for it is "bacterial SSU rRNA". It matches the Rfam family "Bacterial small subunit ribosomal RNA", at positions 28 to 417 of the family's 1533-position model. The record is from RNAcentral.
GACGAACGCUGGCGGCGUGCUUAACACAUGCAAGUCGAACGAUGAAGCCAGCUUGCUGGUGGAUUAGUGGCGAACGGGUGAGUAACACGUGGGUGAUCUGCCCUGUACUUUGGGAUAAGCCUGGGAAACUGGGUCUAAUACCGAAUAUGACCACAGAAUGCAUGUUUUGUGGUGGAAAGCUCCGGCGGUAUGGGAUGGGCCCGCGGCCUAUCAGCUUGUUGGGGGGUAAUGGCCUACCAAGGCGACGACGGGUAGCCGGCCUGAGAGGGCGACCGGCCACACUGGGACUGAGACACGGCCCAGACUCCUACGGGAGGCAGCAGUGGGGAAUAUUGCACAAUGGGCGCAAGCCUGAUGCAGCGACGCCGCGUGAGGGAUGACGGCCU